Canis lupus familiaris (dog) is the source of this 1673-nucleotide long non-coding RNA. RefSeq lists it as uncharacterized. The record is from RefSeq and is a predicted model, not a curated record. The transcript has 3 exons. Lineage: Eukaryota; Metazoa; Chordata; Mammalia; Carnivora; Canidae.
UGUGCCCUUUGGAUUUUAGGAUUUCAAGGUGAAAAGGAAUUCUAGAUCAAUGAGUAGAAAUCCCCAAAUCCUUGUUUCUGCUUUUCCACCUAAACUCAGUCUUUUGGAGCAGGGACAAGUAGCCUUAUUUUCAAAUGAGAAAACUGAGCCUUAGACGCUUGCCCCUAACGACAUAGCUGAAGCCAUCACUUGAACUUGAUGUCUGUCUAGUUCCAAGGCUCAUGACUGAACUACUGUGCCCCUCAAAGAGCAUGGAAUAAACACCAACAAAUAGAAAUUGUGGAGACAGGGACUUGUAAUGCAUAUCCUUCUGCCUUGUGACUUGAUGAUCAGCUGGAAAACACAGACAGGAGGCUUUUCAUAUGGGGUGACUCAUUACCAACAGAGAGAGCCCAUCCUGCUGCUCUCAGCCUCCUUAGCAUUGCAAACUAGGCUGCCUAUGGCUGUGGGCUCUGACCGUGACCCAACUCAGAAGCCUGCACAUCCCAUGUCUCCUAUUUCCUCCCUCCUCCCUAGCAAACAUUUCUAGAUUCCUCCCUAACACUGGGUCAGAAGCUCCUCCAUUUGAGAAGUCUGGAGGGAAACUUCCUUCUAAUUUGGAAACCCCAGUCCUAUAGGUCCAGUGGCUCUAAGCUUUGCUGCUGAGUCUCCAAGGAAACCAUUGCUAUUUGUGACUGUUUGGAGCUCAAGAAGUAAUUCUUACCUGCUCUGGCAAGACUGACAGUGUCAUGACAGCUUCAAGAGGCUGUCGUUUCCACAACGAGAGAUUCUGUAAAUCGAUUAUUAAUGAAGCGCUGCCAUAUUUUAAGUGACUCUCUUCUUUGAGGGAGCGUGUUUAUAUUUAAUUAUUGAAAUGUGAGCUGUGCAAUGGCACAGUAGCACAAAAGUCAGCUAUUAUCCCCCCCAAAUGGUUCAAAAAUCAAUCUUCAUUCCAAAACCCAUAAUAAAAAAAUAAAAAAAUUGCAAUUUAUUGAGAAAAACUAAAGACAUACUCUGUCAGAAAAGCUAUCAUUAGUUGUGCUAAAACUAAUAUGUACACAUUUUUAAAGAGAGAUGCGCGUAAUUAUGCAAAAGAAUUUUAAGUACUUAGUGAAUGGAGGACCCACUGAAUUGUCACUAUCAUUGGUAGUUUGACAUUUGCCCUGCUUCUGCCUGUCACACCAACCGUGGAGGCAGCUGUUAUUAGAGAUGUGUAUGAAUAGUAAUAAAAAAAAAUUUACCCGGGGUUACCAUGCUUCCAUGCUUUCUUGAGUGUGAGCAGCUUGCGCUAACAAAGUUUUGACCUCUUCUGGCCCCAAGACUUUUCCUAUAGGGCUGCUUCUGAAAUUCUGUGAGUAAGGAAGGGCCUUGAGUAGAGGAUGAGAGAGUAGGGUGACAGGAGAACCUUCUCAGUUGACAAUAAUAGUCCCCGAAUUUGUAUAUACAAGGGCUGGGGCAGCGAUCUCAAUGGAAGGUGAGCAUCACAUGGCAUUUUACCUAAAGGUGAGAAAACUGUCUCUAUCAAAGAACAGAUGGGUGCUGUCAAAGCCUAUGAGAACGCAAACCCUUCUUCCCAACCCACCGGCCAUGCCGUCACAGGUUCUUCACACUUGGUUCUGAGAUUUGAGGAGAAUGGCAGGGCUCCUGGAGUCUAAGUGGUAUGUGACGUGAUUGGAUCUGUGUUUUAGAAAGAA